Molecule: long non-coding RNA, 334 nt
Filed under: Setaria viridis
Lineage: Eukaryota; Viridiplantae; Streptophyta; Magnoliopsida; Poales; Poaceae
Description: long non-coding RNA (SVIR_LNC005677)
Source: RNAcentral
ACUUUUCUUGUACACAGGAACAAUAUUAGAAAUCCAGUUGGCAUAUCGACAUUGCCGAAUGAACCCUACUUCAAUCAAUCUUGUGAUUUUGGCUUUAAUAUCAGGUAGAAUUUUUGGAUUACAAUGUCGUGCGGGCUGUUGAUAUGGCUGAUACCCUUGUUUUAUGGGCAACCGGUGUUCGACAAUUGACCGGUCUAGACCAGGCAUCUCAUGAUACUCCCAAGCAAAGCAAUCUUAAAAUUCUCUUAACAAAUCUACUAACUCACGCUUAUACUCAAGGUCUAAUUUAGCACUGAUAUACGUCAGCCUCCACUUGCUACCAUCUCCAAGAUCC